UACGUAGGGUGCAAGCGUUGUCCGGAAUUAUUGGGCGUAAAGAGCUCGUAGGCGGUGUGUCACGUCGGCCGUGAAAACCUGGGGCUUAACUCUGGGCGUGCGGUCGAUACGGGCAUCACUAGAGUUCGGCAGGGGAGACUGGAAUUCCUGGUGUAGCGGUGAAAUGCGCAGAUAUCAGGAGGAACACCGGUGGCGAAGGCGGGUCUCUGGGCCGAUACUGACGCUGAGGAGCGAAAGCAUGGGUAGCGAACAGG
RNAcentral lists this ribosomal RNA (254 nucleotides) under uncultured bacterium. Its description in RNAcentral is "partial 16S ribosomal RNA". It matches the Rfam family "Bacterial small subunit ribosomal RNA", at positions 524 to 776 of the family's 1533-position model. The record is from RNAcentral.